Molecule: ribosomal RNA, 504 nt
Filed under: uncultured bacterium
Lineage: Bacteria
Description: partial 16S ribosomal RNA
Rfam family: Bacterial small subunit ribosomal RNA
Source: RNAcentral
GACGAACGCUGGCGGCGUGCCUAAUACAUGCAAGUAGAACGCACAGUUUAUACCGUAGCUUGCUACACCAUAGACUGUGAGUUGCGAACGGGUGAGUAACGCGUAGGUAACCUGCCUGGUAGCGGGGGAUAACUAUUGGAAACGAUAGCUAAUACCGCAUAAUAUUGAUUAUUGCAUGAUAAUUGAUUGAAAGAUGCUAUUGCAUCACUACCAGAUGGCCCUGCGUUGUAUUAGCUAGUAGGUGAGGUAACGGCUCACCUAGGCGACGAUACAUAGCCGACCUGAGAGGGUGAUCGGCCACACUGGGACUGAGACACGGCCCAGACUCCUACGGGAGGCAGCAGUAGGGAAUCUUCGGCAAUGGACGAAAGUCUGACCGAGCAACGCCGCGUGAGUGAAGAAGGUUUUCGGAUCGUAAAGCUCUGUUGUAAGAGAAGAACGGGUGUGAGAGUGGAAAGUUCACACUGUGACGGUAUCUUACCAGAAAGGGACGGCUAACUACGU